UGGAGAAGAAAUGGGAUGUUCGUUUCCGGAAGAGGGUUUGCUGCCCGCCACUCUCACUAGUCUCUCCAUCCGCUUUCAUCCAAAUCUUACAACCAUCCAAGGCAAGGUUUUGAGACAACUCACCUCUCUUGAAUACCUCAGAAUAGAAGGAUGCCCUGAGCUCCAGGGCUUUACAGAAGUAGCGCCCAAAUCUCUGAAAAGGUUGGCUAUUUUGGAGUGCCAUAAUAUCGGGUGCUUGCCAGGAGAAUGGCUUCCCACAUCUCUUUCUCAUCUGCUUAUCAAAGAGUGUCCGCUGUUAAAAGAACGAUUCCGAAGAGAGACAGGGGAAGAUUGGCCCAAGAUUUCUCACAUCCCCCGUAUAAAUAUAGAAUAGAUGUUCCUGAAAUUGGUACUUGCCGAAUUCUCUCUCAAGUGUGUGCGUGCCUAUAUGUAAUAUAUGUACGAAACACUUUAGUUGGGUACUUUUUCUGAUGUUUUUUUUUUCCUUGCGCGUUUGAUUUGUGCUUCUAGUCCAGGCUCCAGCAGCAUAUGCUCUUGUUGUUUCGUGUUGAAUUUGUCACAAACUCUUCCUAAUGCAACAACAAAAAUGGAGCUGGUAUAGCCUUUGCUGUUUUGCGGUAAAGUAGUACUACGUACGUAUUCGCAAGAUGAUUACUAGGCUAAAACAAGAGCAAAUUUGGAUAAAAAAUGCUAUUUCUACCAUCUAGUUGUACUAUCAUUCGUGCCGUCUCUCUAAUAGAGAAGAGACUCGCAUGUGUUGGUGGACCCUCCUCUAUUAGAUUUCAUGAUUCACUAACGAAAGCUCGAAGCACCCUAUUUUCAUCCUCAGCUCGUCAAAGCAACCUAUUUUCAUCCUCAGCUCGUCACACCUUUUUCAAGGGGUUUGCUUCUGAAACUCCUAAGCAGGUUCAUAGAGGCGUAACAUGUGCCCAUCAAUACAUCGUAUGGCAGCAACCUGUUACACAAUAGUCUUAUCGUAAUCUUUGCAACCAGCAUGGUGAUGAUAUACAAAUA
This 1014-nucleotide long non-coding RNA is filed under the name Malus domestica (apple). RNAcentral describes it as "long non-coding RNA (MDOM_LNC007292)". The record is from RNAcentral. Lineage: Eukaryota; Viridiplantae; Streptophyta; Magnoliopsida; Rosales; Rosaceae.